Molecule: long non-coding RNA, 1920 nt
Organism: Lutra lutra (Eurasian river otter)
Lineage: Eukaryota; Metazoa; Chordata; Mammalia; Carnivora; Mustelidae
Exons: 3
Source: RefSeq, a predicted model, not a curated record
AACAAGGUAGGCCUACUCAUGAUGGAGAUAAGCUCGGUAGGUUCCUGGCUGGUGUCUUUAACGGUAUAAAAUUAUUUCUAUUUUGUCUUUUUGCCUUUUGUUCUCCUUCAUUGUGCAUUAGUAAUUAACUUUCCUGUUAUGACUUGCCACAUAUUUUUAUCCCAUUAUUUUCAACCUUCCUGUAUCAUUUUGUUUCAGAUGUGCUGGUGACUGUGUUGGUAUUUGCUGUCCUGAUAUUUUACAAAUGGCCUCUUUGAAUCCCUCCGGAAAUGGAUCCUUUGAGGGUUGAGCAAGGAAACAUGAAUCAGGCUGAGACAUACAAGAAACUGCUGCGAGAAAAACAGUGAAGAGUUAGACCAAACUCCAGAUAAAGAAUUCUAACAGAAAAAACGUUGGCUGCUGAGCAGAUGACAAGUUACCAAAGACUCCUCCAAGUAGGCAAGGAUGCUUGUGAAAGAGACACUGUGAGACCAGAGCCCAAUGCAGAUACAAAGACUCAAGGACAGAAUUAAACACUGAAAGGAAUGAAGGUUGUAUCUGAAGCAGCAGAACUCAGGCUCAACAUCCAGGUUACUGAUGCUCCUUCAAGAAGACUAAUCAAAUGGAACCAAAGUUUUAAUCCCACAGCAUAAAAAUGCAUGACAUGUCCCCAGGAAAAGGGCUACAAAUAGACUGAGCCAAACUAAGACAUGUCCUAGGAAAUGGUUUCCAUUAUUGUACAGCUAAACCCAGUACUGGGAGAAUCAUGUUUAAAGAUAGCAGUAUAACAAACUCUGGCUCCAGGAAGUUCUACUUAGCACUUUUCUUUCUGUACUAAAAAAAAAAAAAAAAAAAAAAAAAAAAAAAAAUUGUUUUUUUACAGGAUAUAAUUCCAGUGACAAUUUUUGAAAAAAAAGUUCUAAAACCCAAACAGAACACUAAAAAACAUCAAAGCCAGACAACAAAUAAUACUACCACAUGGAGAAUUAUAAAGUACGCUCCCAAACUUUCUGGGGCCUGAGAGGGACUCAGCCUUAACUGUAGAUUAUCUACACAUUUAUCCUAACAAAAAUACCAGGUAUGGAAUACCUAUGGUCUAUAGCUAAAAGAGUGCCUUGGAGAGAAUUUCAGCCUUGAAUACAUAUAUUAAUCAAUAGGAAAUAAUGAAGAAAUGUGAGUUCUGGGUCAAGGAGGGAGGCAGUGGGAACCCAACCAAAAAAAGAGAGGGAAAUGCCACAAUGAGAAACAAAAAAGGAACUACAAUGAACGGACAAUUGUCCUUGAUUCAGCUUCUCCUGUGUGCCAUGUGAGGAGGGUUCUGGCCUCCUUCAGCCACUGCUCAAAGGCUGGCCCAGCCAGGGACAUCCACAUGGCAUGGUAACCACAUCUGUCCCAUGUUAAGGACAGCAGCCUUCCUCUCGAGGUCCUGGCACUCAGAGCUCUAAGGGAGAUGCUAGCAUAAGGCUUAGCUUACUUAUUCAGGUUAAACCUGAACUCUGGCUACAGACGCAUGAGGUUGUAUGAACUCAAGCCCAAAGCCAUCUUCGUACCCAGUACUGGAUGACCCAGGUAUUUGUUAGGAUAACAACAAGGCUGUUAGUCAACACUGAUUUGGAAGUAGCAGCUGCCAGGAGGAGAAAAGAGAAAGGAGAUAGAAAAAGAAAAAAAUGAUCACUUUGCAGAGGAUACGAUGGCACACCUGAUAAAAAUCAAAGGAAACCAACCAGAAUAAUUAUUACCAACAAAAGGAAAAUUUAGUAAGGUGGCUGUGAAGAAAAUUAAUCCUGAAACAACCCCCAGCAAGGGACUACAAUAGAAAAAAAAAAAAACAAUUUCGUUUACAAGGAAGAUAAAUACAAGUUCCUUCAGGACAUCAAACCUAAAAGCCUCUUUGGGGACUCAAUUUGCUUCUGGCCAAGGGCAGGUCUUUUGCUAGCUCCC